This 72-nucleotide transfer RNA is filed under the name Camelus bactrianus (Bactrian camel). It matches the Rfam family "tRNA". From Rfam's summary of the family: Transfer RNA (tRNA) molecules are approximately 80 nucleotides in length. Their secondary structure includes four short double-helical elements and three loops (D, anti-codon, and T loops). The record is from Rfam by way of RNAcentral. RNAcentral also lists the same sequence under 2 other names. Lineage: Eukaryota; Metazoa; Chordata; Mammalia; Artiodactyla; Camelidae.
GUGGGUAGAGCUCAGUGGUAGAGCACGUGCUUAGCAUGCAUGAGGUCCUGGGCUCAACCCCCUGUACCUCUA